RNAcentral lists this ribosomal RNA (361 nucleotides) under uncultured prokaryote. RNAcentral describes it as "partial 16S ribosomal RNA". The record is from RNAcentral.
CCCUACGGGGUGCAGCAGGCGGCGGAGGUGAUCCAGCUUUUUAUAAGCAUCUGGAAACACACCUAUGCGGAUAAAAGCGUAAACGCAAUGAUCAACGCGAUCCUUACGGACGAUUCCAUAAAAACCAUAAAAAUGAGCAAGGAGCUUGGGUUCAGCGAGCAUGCGGCGCAUACCGUAUGGGUUUUAAGGGAGAACGAGGCGGACCUACCCCCGCAGAAAAAGCAACGUAACAACUCGCAGCGGAUCAUACGGAUCAACCAGUUUUUUCAAAAAAAAGCGGGAAAUGCGUUUGCAGGGGUUUUUGAGGACGAUAUUGUGAUCCUGAUGGACGACAUCAGCGACCAGGAAUUGGCGGGAGGGC